GGGGUAGUAGCUCAGUGCUAGAGCUUCCGCUUCGCAUGUGGGAAGACCUUGGUUCGAUUUCCGGCUGCUUCC
This 72-nucleotide transfer RNA is filed under the name Toxocara canis (dog roundworm). It matches the Rfam family "tRNA". Rfam says of the family: Transfer RNA (tRNA) molecules are approximately 80 nucleotides in length. Lineage: Eukaryota; Metazoa; Nematoda; Chromadorea; Rhabditida; Toxocaridae. The record is from Rfam by way of RNAcentral.